AGGUAUUGGGAACUUACUGCUAGACGAUCUUUUUCGUGGAGUUAUCCGGAGCUACUAUGAUAUUGAGAGAGAUAUAUAAUCACCAAUACAAAUAACAAUUAAAAUCUGUAUAAUACACUGAUAAACAUAAGUGACCCAGUUAUGCAAUACAUUUAGGUUAUGUACUCUGGUCCUGUUAUUGUUGUUGCAUCAGCUGUGCUGGACAAUUGGUUUAGGUUUGGUGAGUGGUGUUGUUUGGUACUGGUAUGAUCUUGAUCUGCGACAGAGCAUUUUGAAGACAUCGGGAGAACCCAUGAUAUCAGAAGUCCAUGCCGACUGGAGUAUUAAUUGUUUUGUUUAGAUUAAUUAUGAAAUCUUCUGAAGGUUUCAUAAUCAAAGAUAAAAGAGUUCUUUGGUGAUGGAAGCCAGAUAUCAGAAUUGUGUGAAUAUACUUGUAAGAGGAUUAGAGAAGAAUGGUCUGUAAAUAACAUUGGCAUCAUGACUGAGGAAGAUGGAGAAUUGCUGAUGUGCGUAACAAGUCCAGACCCUAGUAUGCCUGCAGAAGUUAUCGGUGUCUUAGUGGAAUCAUUAGCUGUUUUGCAUUGCAUAUUUGAGUGGAGUGAAAUGGAAUUCUAGUUCGUCAGAUGCUGAGAGUGAUCCUGGUUCGUCUGAUUCAGAGAGUGAUGACAGUCUGGACAAGGACAUUUCAUCAAGUCUGAUACAAGUGAAUGCUACCAAGAAUGAGAUCAGUGAAAGGAUAAAUAGAUUCAUCGGCUACAAACGAGAACAAGCCAACAUCAACAACAUCCUAGACUUCUGUGGUCCGCCUGACAUCGACAAACUGUGUGCUAGGGUUGAUGCAGUUCUCACACGCAAGAAAAACUCUUCCAGUCAUAUGGCAGUUCGCAAUGUUUUGGACAGAUUCACUCAUAAGCACACUGCUGGAAAGACCAAGAAACUUGAAACGUCAGAUUCUGUAAGUAAAUCUUUGAUUUUAUCCAUUUCAGCUGAUUUAAAUAAUACACAUUUUAUAACAAAUCUAACCUUCAUUGUCUUUUAUCCCUUUUAUGAUAGACACCUGUAAUGGGCAACCGUUCACAUUUUUUUGCAGUUUACUGUCUUGUUAUUACUCCAAAUUCCAUUUACCUUGAUAAGCAUGUUGUGAACAAUAUUGGCUUCAUGGGAACACAAUAAAGAUGUUUUGAUGCAUGAAAAUUGUUUAAAUCUCCGAUCAACUUGUUUUAGUUU
Molecule: long non-coding RNA, 1227 nt
Filed under: Homalodisca vitripennis (glassy-winged sharpshooter)
Lineage: Eukaryota; Metazoa; Arthropoda; Insecta; Hemiptera; Cicadellidae
Description: uncharacterized LOC124357794, transcript variant X2
Source: RNAcentral